RNAcentral lists this ribosomal RNA (905 nucleotides) under Micrococcus luteus. RNAcentral's name for it is "bacterial SSU rRNA". It matches the Rfam family "Bacterial small subunit ribosomal RNA", at positions 8 to 924 of the family's 1533-position model. Lineage: Bacteria; Bacillati; Actinomycetota; Actinomycetes; Micrococcales; Micrococcaceae. The record is from RNAcentral.
AGAGUUUGAUCCUGGCUCAGGAUGAACGCUGGCGGCGUGCUUAACACAUGCAAGUCGAACGAUGAAGCCCAGCUUGCUGGGUGGAUUAGUGGCGAACGGGUGAGUAACACGUGAGUAACCUGCCCUUAACUCUGGGAUAAGCCUGGGAAACUGGGUCUAAUACCGGAUAGGAGCGUCCACCGCAUGGUGGGUGUUGGAAAGAUUUAUCGGUUUUGGAUGGACUCGCGGCCUAUCAGCUUGUUGGUGAGGUAAUGGCUCACCAAGGCGACGACGGGUAGCCGGCCUGAGAGGGUGACCGGCCACACUGGGACUGAGACACGGCCCAGACUCCUACGGGAGGCAGCAGUGGGGAAUAUUGCACAAUGGGCGAAAGCCUGAUGCAGCGACGCCGCGUGAGGGAUGACGGCCUUCGGGUUGUAAACCUCUUUCAGUAGGGAAGAAGCGAAAGUGACGGUACCUGCAGAAGAAGCACCGGCUAACUACGUGCCAGCAGCCGCGGUAAUACGUAGGGUGCGAGCGUUAUCCGGAAUUAUUGGGCGUAAAGAGCUCGUAGGCGGUUUGUCGCGUCUGUCGUGAAAGUCCGGGGCUUAACCCCGGAUCUGCGGUGGGUACGGGCAGACUAGAGUGCAGUAGGGGAGACUGGAAUUCCUGGUGUAGCGGUGGAAUGCGCAGAUAUCAGGAGGAACACCGAUGGCGAAGGCAGGUCUCUGGGCUGUAACUGACGCUGAGGAGCGAAAGCAUGGGGAGCGAACAGGAUUAGAUACCCUGGUAGUCCAUGCCGUAAACGUUGGGCACUAGGUGUGGGGACCAUUCCACGGUUUCCGCGCCGCAGCUAACGCAUUAAGUGCCCCGCCUGGGGAGUACGGCCGCAAGGCUAAAACUCAAAGGAAUUGACGGGGGCCCGC